This 1010-nucleotide long non-coding RNA is filed under the name Equus asinus (donkey). Its description in RNAcentral is "lncRNA (ENSEASG00005025859.1)". The record is from RNAcentral. Lineage: Eukaryota; Metazoa; Chordata; Mammalia; Perissodactyla; Equidae.
UCAAACAGGACCUUUUCUUGCAGGAUCUACGGCCUGAAGAGAAUGAAACCACUGAAAAAUGAAAUAGAAUUCUCCAAGGGACUCUACUCCACGGAAAGAAUGUUGCUACUGGAAAACUUCUACAGAGCUGCGUGACUUUAUCGUCUUUUAAGAUUCAUCAGCAUUCAGCGGAGAACCAGACAGAGAAAAAACGUGGUAUGAUCUGCGACAUCAAGGCAAAGGGCCCAAAAGUUGUUCUGGCCCAGGGAAGGGGUCCCAGAGUCAGACUGGCCAGCUUUUACCACGGCUAAUGGUCCAGCAUGCCGGCCAGAGCCCCCGCCUCCUUGGGGCACCUUGAGAAGACUAGGCAACAGCUCUCCCGACCAGGGCCAGUGCCACAGGCUCCCCAUGGCUGUGGAGGACCCCAGCACCCCACACCCACCUCUCCCUGCUCUUCCGUCGGGACCUCCACUGACCAGCCCUGGAUCAGAGGCAGCUCCAUGCCCCGGGUCACACUCAUGGCAUCUGUCUGUCCGGGUCUCUCUGUGCUCAGCGGUGAUCCAUCUGCCUCCUGCUCCUGGGUCCUCCUCUCCCCUGACUGAGCCACCUGUGCCCCUCCUCCACUGCCCCACUGGAUACUGAGAUCCAUCAUCAGUCCUAGCCACCCCCAACCCCUGGGCCAAGGCAGGAGGAACGCACAGGACCACCGCGGUUCCUGAUGUCCAGGAGCCUCUGUUCUCAUCCUGAGUCCAAUCUUAUUCCUGAGAGCUGAGGCCGCCCUGCGCCAGCCUCUGACGGCUGAAUUCCUGCCUUCUUCCCAGCGCUGGAGUCUCCGUCUAAAAGACUCAAGAGAAAGUUGUGCCUUGUUCUGCCUCUCCUCAGCCCUGGAAGUGCUUCCUGCUGUGCACCCUGUGUCCUGGGGGUGGGACCCCCUUCCUCCCGGAGGCCUCCUCUCAGAGCCCCCGAUUAACUAGUGGGAACAUCCUCUCCCUCUAUUUCUGCUCAUUUCUUGGCUUCCACGCCUCUACAAA